CCCGAGGCGGCGCUUAUCUGCAGUCGAGCGAGAACCAGAGCUUCGGCUCUGGGGACAGCGGCGAACGGGUGAGUAACACGUGAGUAAUCUGCCCUCGGCACCGGGAUAGCCCGGGGAAACCCGGAUUAAUACCGGAUGGCCUCUCGAGCCCUCGGGCUCGUGAGAAAAGGUAGCUUCGGCCUCUGGCCGAGGAGGAGCUCGCGGCGGAUUAGCUUGUUGGUGGGGUAACGGCUCACCAAGGCGACGAUCCGUAGCUGGUCUGAGAGGACGAUCAGCCACACUGGGACUGAGACACGGCCCAGACUCCUACGGGAGGCAGCAGUAGGGAAUCUUGCGCAAUGGGCGAAAGCCUGACGCAGCGACGCCGCGUGCGGGAAGAAGGCCUUCGGGUUGUAAACCGCUUUCAGGAGGGACGAAGCCACUCGGGUUAAUAGCCCAGAGGGUGACGGUACCUCCAGAAGAAGCCCCGGCUAACUACGUGCCAGCAGCCGCGGUAAUACGUAGGGGGCAAGCGUUGUCCGGAUUCAUUGGGCGUAAAGAGCGUGUAGGCGGCCAGGUAGGUCCGUUGUGAAAACUCGAGGCUCAACCUCGAGACGUCGAUGGAAACCAUCUGGCUAGAGUCCGGAAGAGGAGAGUGGAAUUCCUGGUGUAGCGGUGAAAUGCGCAGAUAUCAGGAAGAACACCUAUGGCGAAGGCAGCUCUCUGGGACGGUACUGACGCUGAGACGCGAAAGCGUGGGGAGCGAACAGGAUUAGAUACCCUGGUAGUCCACGCCGUANACGAUGGGAACUAGGUGUGGGCGGUGUCGACUCCGUCCGUGCCGAAGCUAACGCAUUAAGUUCCCCGCCUGG
This 851-nucleotide ribosomal RNA is filed under the name uncultured bacterium. RNAcentral's name for it is "bacterial SSU rRNA". It matches the Rfam family "Bacterial small subunit ribosomal RNA", at positions 36 to 876 of the family's 1533-position model. The record is from RNAcentral.